GUGGGCUCUGUCUAAAUUUAGCAGUGAAAUUAGAUUUAGGGAAUGUGAAAAUAGGGGAAGAAGUGUUCUCAAGGGAAGCAGUGGUGUCAGCACAGCUGAGGGAUGUCACAAUAGCUACAUUUUGUCAAUUAUGAGCAUCAUCGGGGGGGAUCUCCCCAGCAAUGCAGGGCAAGGUUUAUUCAUAAGUGCAUCUUGAGGAUAGGUGGGAAGGCGAUAGAAAGCAGUGACUGCAGGAAGACUGGGGCAGGCAGAUGGAGGGAGAAAGAAGGAAGGGAGUGGAGGUAAGGAAUAGAAGUAGCCCCAGUGCUGGGAGCAAGAUAAAGAGAGCCUGGAUAGAAUGCUACGGAGGUCACUUUUCGGAGACUAAUUCAAAGAGAAACAAGCGAGAAAAUAAAAUUACACGUGCGAACAUGCGAACGAUCAAAGAGAAAACAAGACCACACUCGAAGCCCUCGCAGUGGGAGAAAUCCAUGGCCUCCUGUUGCCGGUCGCCUGGCGCAGAAAGUGGACAACCAGGCAAGGCAGCCCAAGAGAAGCAAAAGCUAAAGAGCAAACCUUCCGGGGCCCUUCCUGUCCUCAGGCAGAUUCGCUGACCUCUCCAACAAGCAUCCCUCCCAGAGAAAAAAAGGAAGGUUAAACGCCUGGGCCAACGCGCGGCCAGGACAGCGAGGCAGGAUGCCCCUGGGGAGGAAGGAGGAGUGGAGAUUCUCCUUUCAGUCCCCACGCCUGGGUGAGGAGGGAGAAGGCUGGUCCAGCCCCGCGGCAUCCAGCUUCCCAAAUUAAGCACCUCCCGCACGGACCAGCGGAGAGUGGGUUCCGCACCUUGCCUUCCCCGAACUCCCUCCUCCCCCGUUCCCGGUUGUUCCCCGUCCCGCUGGGGAACCGCCACACUCAGGAGGAGAGAAAGGCAG
Molecule: long non-coding RNA, 911 nt
Filed under: Rattus norvegicus (Norway rat)
Lineage: Eukaryota; Metazoa; Chordata; Mammalia; Rodentia; Muridae
Description: long non-coding RNA NONRATT031785
Source: RNAcentral